This 80-nucleotide transfer RNA is filed under the name Knautia arvensis. RNAcentral describes it as "partial transfer RNA-Leu". Lineage: Eukaryota; Viridiplantae; Streptophyta; Magnoliopsida; Dipsacales; Caprifoliaceae. The record is from RNAcentral.
AAAAAACCAUAUGGACCCCUAAUUGUUUAUCCUCUCCUUUUAUCCUUUUUUGUUAGCGGCUCAAAAUCCGUUAUCUUUCU